UUGAACACUAAUUCAGAACAAAUUAAGCAUCUCAAUGUUCUCGCGCUCCAACUCCCUUCUUCUUCCCUUGGCUUUCCCUGCGUCGUCCCCUCACAAAAAAAAACCAUUCCCUGCGUCGUCAACUUCCUCGUCGAGUCGUCGGUGGUUCUGGCCUCCUCGCCAGUCGCCGGUGGGUUUCUUUUCUCGCCUCCUCUCCAGGAUGGAAAAAUUGGGGUUCAUGGAGACCUGUCUGCUGGCGCCACAAGCUUGUCCGUGAAUGCAUUUACAAGAAAACUUCUAGCUCCAUCACCUGCAGUGAUGCCUCUGCGAGUCCAAUAUGAUGUGACAAAUCCAAAUUCAGUCUAGAAAUGGUUGGAUAGAUGGUCAAUAUCCUGCCCAUGGAAACCAAUUUCUCCCCCAAAGAAAGUCACUAACUCCAAGGUCUAAAAGAAGCAAGGGAACUCACUUGUUAUUGAUGGGUAAACAGGCAGGCCUAAGAGCAAUUUUCGCAAGGUUCCUUCCCUUUAUGAUAACAUGUCAACGCAGUCCACCUCUGAAGUAGAAAAAUCUCGGCGAAAUCUGAAGAAAGUUGUAAGCCACCCCGCAGAUUUGGUGCAAGAAAAUCCACAACAUGAGCUUGAGAAGGUUAGACGUAGCCUUAGCAAAGUUCACACCCCUGUAUCCGAAAGCUCUAUUUAGCCUCAGACUGAGAUUUCCAACUUUGAAUCGAUAGAUUCAGAUGCAGACUAAUCUUCACCGAGUUUCUGAGAUUGUUGUAACACCCAAGGAUACAGAUGAUGCUGGUGGGAUACAGAACAACAGGACAUCAUCUAUUAAACGAUCUCGAGAGAAUGAAAUUGCAAACAACAGAGAAUGAUUUUGAUUUUCGAAUGGAUCUAAGUGACGAAAAAUUGAAUUGCGAACAACGAAGAUUUUGCUUACAAAGAUUGGAUCAAGGUUUGUCACUUUACCAGUAGAGAGACUUCUAGCAGUAGUCAAUGUCCUGCUCCACCAGUGCUACAAGUAUCCAACUGCAACUACUGCGGAGGUGCCUCAGUCUCUUAGGAAGGAGCUUUCCGGUGUCUGUAGGGCUUGCUUCUCAGCAGAUGCUGUAAACAAGCAUGUUGAUUUCGUGCGAGAGUACAAGCCAGACUUUGAACGUGAUAUUGAUCCAGAUAACACUUCUACCUUCCCAGCAACACUUUCUGAACUCACUGAGACAUUGAAGCAUUGGAAUAAUGUUCUGCAAAGCAAUGUUGAGGACAAAUUUCCUGCUGUGCUGAAGCUGGAAGAGGAAAGCAGGGUUUUGCGUGAUUUCCAUGUUGUUGAUGGUGAGCUUCCAGGACAGUAUUUCACUGAUCAGAAACUCGAAGCUUACGCACACGCUGCAGAGCUCUUGAGGUGAGAUACUUUAGCCCAAUAUUUAUCCCUUGAAGGAUCAGAUUACAACUAAGCCUUGUUGAACCGACAUAUGGCUGUAAGUUAUCUGUCUUAUUUAUCCAGAUUAGUCCUAGCGCUGCAUACUUGGGGGAGACUUUAUGCUCCCUGAACUUUGCAUGGAGUAUGUGAUGAUUGAGAACUUCAUACUUAUUUCUUAUUUUAGUUUGUUGGCUUCAGCUUACUAAAAUUUAUGUACUUUAAAGGUUUUUGAUGCAAUUUUCCUAUUCUUCUUAUCCAAAUAAACAACUUGCUGAUGCUCACGUUUGUCUUAAAAAAUCACCAUAAUACAGAAGCUGAUUUCUUGAUCCGAAAGAAGUAAAUCCAUCUGUAACUUGGUUCUUUAGCUGCUUUUGACUUUGUUCUAUAAGUGAAUAAACCUGCCAACUUCCUGUUCUAACCUUAUCUGUAUGUGUGUUUUUUUGGGUGGGAAUUUAUUAGUUUAUGCAGAUGGAAGUAUCUGUCUUGACAUUCUACAAAACCAGUGGAGUCCCAUAUAUGAUGUUGCUGCUAUCCUAACGUCAAUCCAGGUCUAUACUCCGAGGACUGCGCCUUAUGCUAGUGAGGAAAUUGAUGUGGUUCGUGAGCAAUGGGCGAAGUUUUUUACCAGCAAGUAUUUAUUAUUGACCUGAGGAAGCUUGAUCGAGUUGGUUUAGAUGUAUAGAACAAUCUUUUAUGUUAAAAUGCAUGGGUACGUUGAAAUUGGAACGUAUGUAUAUUUAAAUGUAUUAGCACGUGCACUUUGGUUUUGGAAUAUAUACAAAACUACAGUUAUUGUUUAUA
Long non-coding RNA from Spinacia oleracea (spinach), 2199 nucleotides. RefSeq lists it as uncharacterized. The transcript has 7 exons. Lineage: Eukaryota; Viridiplantae; Streptophyta; Magnoliopsida; Caryophyllales; Amaranthaceae. The record is from RefSeq and is a predicted model, not a curated record.